GACGAACGCUGGCGGCGUGCUUAACACAUGCAAGUCGAACGAGAAUCUGUGGAAAGAGGAUUCGUCCAAUUGAAGCAGAGGACAGUGGCGGACGGGUGAGUAACGCGUGAGGAACCUGCCUUUCAGAGGGGGACAACAGUUGGAAACGACUGCUAAUACCGCAUGACAUAUAGAUGUCGCAUGGCAUUUAUAUCAAAGAUUUAUCGCUGAAAGAUGGCCUCGCGUCUGAUUAGCUAGUUGGUGAGGUAACGGCCCACCAAGGCGACGAUCAGUAGCCGGACUGAGAGGUUGAACGGCCACAUUGGGACUGAGAUACGGCCCAGACUCCUACGGGAGGCAGCAGUGGGGAAUAUUGGGCAAUGGGCGCAAGCCUGACCCAGCAACGCCGCGUGAAGGAAGAAGGCUUUCGGGUUGUAAACUUCUUUUGUCAGGGACGAGUAGAAGACGGUACCUGACGAAUAAGCCACGGCUAACUACGUGCCAGCAGCCGCGGUAAUACGUAGGUGGCACAGCGUUGUCCGGAUUUACUGGGUGUAAAGGGCGUGUAGCCGGGAGGGCAAGUCAGAUGUGAAAUCCACGGGCUCAACUCGUGAACUGCAUUUGAAACUACUCUUCUUGAGUAUCGGAGAGGCAAUCGGAAUUCCUAGUGUAGCGGUGAAAUGCGUAGAUAUUAGGAGGAACACCAGUGGCGAAGGCGGAUUGCUGGACGACAACUGACGGUGAGGCGCGAAAGCGUGGGGAGCAAACAGGAUUAGAUACCCUGGUAGUCCACGCUGUAAACGAUGAAUACUAGGUGUGCGGGGACUGACCCCCUGCGUGCCGCAGCUAACGCAAUAAGUAUUCCACCUGGGGAGUACGAUCGCAAGGUUGAAACUCAAAGGAAUUGACGGGGGCCCGCACAAGCGGUGGAUUAUGUGGUUUAAUUCGAAGCAACGCGAAGAACCUUACCAGGGCUUGACAUCCUACUAACGAGAUAGAGAUAUGUUAGGUGCCCUUCGGGGAAAGUAGAGACAGGUGGUGCAUGGUUGUCGUCAGCUCGUGUCGUGAGAUGUUGGGUUAAGUCCCGCAACGAGCGCAACCCCUAUUGUUAGUUGCUACGCAAGAGCACUCUAGCGAGACUGCCGUUGACAAAACGGAGGAAGGUGGGGACGACGUCAAAUCAUCAUGCCCCUUAUGUCCUGGGCUACACACGUAAUACAAUGGCGGUCAACAGAGGGAUGCAAAACCGUGAGGUGGAGCGAACCCCUAAAAGCCGUCCCAGUUCAGAUCGUGGGCUGCAACCCGCCCACGUGAAGUCGGAAUCGCUAGUAAUCGCGGAUCAGCAUGCCGCGGUGAAUACGUUCCCGGGCCU
RNAcentral lists this ribosomal RNA (1351 nucleotides) under uncultured bacterium. RNAcentral's name for it is "bacterial SSU rRNA". It matches the Rfam family "Bacterial small subunit ribosomal RNA", at positions 28 to 1381 of the family's 1533-position model. The record is from RNAcentral.